RNA transcript from Coregonus clupeaformis (lake whitefish), 393 nucleotides. It is a transcript of the gene named choline O-acetyltransferase-like, with no coding region annotated. The transcript is spliced from 3 exons. The record is from RefSeq and is a predicted model, not a curated record. NCBI's taxonomy places the organism in Eukaryota, Metazoa, Chordata, Actinopteri, Salmoniformes, Salmonidae.
GCUGCCGUGGCUAAUUGCUAGCUAGCAUGUGGGCAAAAAGGGCAGUUUUCUGGGUAAACUAGCAGUAUUUCAAUGUUCUCGAAGGAGCAGUGUGGAUAAAGGUACAAUUUGGAGUAUAGUGGCGUAUCCCAUCUCUGCAUUGAGGUGUAUGACUACUGGCUGGAGGACAUGUACUUGAAUAACAGAAUGGCAUUGCCUGUCAACUCCAGCUCUGUUAUGGUCUUCCCCAAGCAGAACUUCGGGGCUCCCAUUGACUCCCUCAGGUGCGGCGAUCUGGGAGAGCGGAGGACCACAGCGCCAGUGGCACUCUAGUGGCACGAGAGGACAUUCUCUUGCACGCUGUCGUCUGUGUUCUUUUGGGUCUGGAGGCGGCAGGCAGGGCACACUCGCGUC